This 2334-nucleotide long non-coding RNA is filed under the name Ovis aries (sheep). RNAcentral describes it as "lncRNA (ENSOARG00000025278.1)". Lineage: Eukaryota; Metazoa; Chordata; Mammalia; Artiodactyla; Bovidae. The record is from RNAcentral.
AUGGAGACUGGGGGCCAGGGCGCCAUCCAGAGAAUACGGAUGGGGGACAGGGCGCAGUCUGGUGAUGAGAACAGGGACAGGGCACCCUCCGGGAAAGGGCACCUUGCCGCGCAGCGCCUUCCUCCAGCGGGGCUCCCACUCGGGUGGCUCGGGCCCCGCGGCCAUGCGGCAAGCUGCGCACAGCGGGCCCCCGUCGGCGCGGCACAGCAGCUGCAGCGCCGCCUCGGAGGCCGGGCCGUCGCGCGUGGGCGCCGCAGCUGCUUCUUCGAGCGCCAGCAGGCGGCGGCUGAGCGGCGGGGGGGCGGGGGGCUCGGCCCGCCGGCCGGCGGCGGCGGGGAACCCGGGGCGCGGGAAGNNNNNNNNNNNNNNNNNNNNNNNNNNNNNNNNNNNNNNNNNNNNNNNNNNNNNNNNNNNNNNNNCGCCGGGGCCCGGGGGGAGCGCCAGGGCGGCAGCGGCGGGGCCCCAGAGGGCGCAGACAGGGAUGCGAACAGGGGCGCACUGGUGGCUGGCAGAGCCGGGGACCCGGACGCACUAAGAGCGCUACCGGAGAGCCAGGGACAAGAAUGCGUUGAUAGAGAUGGAGCGCAGGGACAGAAGACAGAUCGGAACGGAUGUCCUCCAGCACCCUCCACGGCCCAGCUUACCCCACACCGUGGCCACGGCCCCCUCCAGGCCUCAUUCUGUAGUGACUUUAUGAUCUCGAGGGGGAUCGCUGGGCACGGAGACACAAAAAGAGCUACCUAAACUAUCCCACGUGUCUCCCACAGCAUACCCCCCUUGUCAACUCCUACAAUGCCGGGGCCGGAGCCCGGGGCUGACAGAACCAGGAGCAGCACGGCCGGAAGGAAAGCACAAGCCACCCCACUCCUGCCCUGUCGCCCUGGAGUAGGUGCCCCUGGGAUCGGCACGUUCUGAGAAGCUGCUCUCCUGGACUGCUUGUAGCUGGGCAACUUGAGCACUCCGCAGGCACGCUCAGUCGCUUUGUCGUGUCCGACCGUUUGCGACCCCAUGGACUGUGGCCUGCAGGGCUCCUCUGUCCCUGGCAUUUCCAAGGGAAGAAUACUGGAGUGGGUCGCCGUGCCCUCCUCCAGGGGCUCUUCUAGCCCAGGGAUCAAGCCUGAGUCUCCUGUCUCCAGCGUUGGCAGGCAGGCUCUUUACCACGAGCGCCAGGGGGUUCUCUGGUCCUCGGCCCUCGGCGGUGCUUCCUCCCUGCAGCGGCAGCUGCUGCUGACCGUGUGACAGGCCUCCGAGCCCACACCCCUUGUGGUCUCCUGGUGAGUCUGAACAGUGUGCGCACCAGUGUCUCUGUGCUAGGGAUGCUAUGCUGCACUCAUGAAGUUCACCCAUGAAGGCGGCAUCAUGGCCUGACCUCUCCCCCGAGAUCUGAGUUAUCUGUGUUCAUGACGGCCCUGCCCAGCCUCAGGGUCCUCUUCUUUACCGUCCCACCUUGUCUCGUGAGCACACCCCAACAGGGCCCAGGAUGUGAGGCCUCUGAGCACCUGCAGAGCUGUCCCCUUUGCUCUGGGAGGUCACGCCACACCUUGACAGAACCCCUUCUGUGGCUGCUGUCUAGAGUCAGCGUACCCCCCAGAGGUGCCAGACACUGACCCCAGUCCAGCAUGGGUGCCCACCUGCCCUCCUGGACCUGGCUCUGCUCCCCGGCGUCCCUCCUUCCUCUCCCGCCGUCGUCAAGCACUGUCCACACCUAUUUCGCCUCCACUCCACUCUACACCCAGACCUCACCUCCUGGCUUACCUCCACCUCACCCUCCACAGGCAACUCUCACUCCCAGUUCACUUUCGCUUCAAACGCCACCUCACCUCCACACCGAGGAGUCACCUCCACAUCACCUCCAGCACGUCUCCACCUCCCCCACACCCCGAGCUCACUUCCCAUAACAACCAGGCGCUGGACGGAAGACCCGAGGCCUUCCAUCACGGCUCUCUCUUGGGACUACCCUCUCAACACCGGGUCAACAUCCCACCCUCAAGGGCCAUGCUCUCAUCUAUUUCCCAGCUUCUCUCCUGUUCCGCUCCCGCGAGAGGACCAUAAUUCUGUCCUUUCCCAUGUGGCUGCCCGCCUCCUCUUUCUCAGACGCGAACCCCUGAGGACAGUGAGGACCUUAUCCUCUGCUCAUUAUCUGAGAGAAGCGUGGGAGACUGUGGAGACUCCUGCUGCAAGAAUGCAGGAGAUGCGCAGAGACAUGAAAGACUGCAGCCAGACAGGGCGGAGCUGGAGGACACGAUAAAGCCCGCAGACAUGAAGCCGCUGCUCCACACGCCACACGCGGCCUUUACCCCUGACGGCGAGCGUGGCUGAGGUCCUCUCCUGCCC